CGUCUAUAUACGUAUAGCAUAUCAAUAAGCGGAGGAAAAGAAACUAACUAGGAUUCCCCUAGUAACGGCGAGUGAAGCGGGAAGAGCUCAAAUUUGAAAUCUUAAAGGGUUUCCCUUGACGAAUUGUAGUUUAAAGAAGUGUUUUCUGUUGGAGUUUCGGUAAAAGUUCUUUGGAAUAGGACAUCAUAGAGGGUGAGAAUCCCGUAUUUGACCAUUACUUUCCAGCUGUGUGAUACACUUUCAAAGAGUCGGAUUGUUUGGGAAUGCAGUCCAAAAUGGGUGGUAAAUUUCAUCUAAAGCUAAAUACUGGCGAGAGACCGAUAGCGAACAAGUACCGUGAGGGAAAGAUGAAAAGAACUUUGAAAAGAGAGUUAAACAGUACGUGAAAUUGUCAAAAGGGAAGCGUUUGACACCAGUGUUGUUUUCUCGAAAAUCAAUUAAAAAUGGCAUGGAUUUUGUGUUGUAUUGACUUUAUCAGCUUUCUGCACUUUUUUCUUGUCUUUUUUAAUGCACUUUUCGUUUAACAAGUCAACAUCAAUUUCUUUUGUUGUAAAAGAGUCAUUGGAAGGUGGCUUUCUUUUCGGAGAAAGUGUUUAUAGCCUUUGACUUCUGCAAUCGGAGAGAUUGAGGUCUGCAGCGUAGAUCCUUCGGGGUUAGAUACAUUUGUGCUAAGUUAUAGCCUUUCAUAGACAACUUGUUGACUAUGAUCAGUCAUGUAGCUUACUCGCUUAUGUUAUUUUACCUACGCUUAGGAUGUUGACGAUCAGCUGAGCGCG
Molecule: ribosomal RNA, 776 nt
Filed under: uncultured Neocallimastigales
Lineage: Eukaryota; Fungi; Neocallimastigomycota; Neocallimastigomycetes; Neocallimastigales
Description: partial large subunit ribosomal RNA
Rfam family: Eukaryotic large subunit ribosomal RNA
Source: RNAcentral